CCCUUUAAAACAUACCUCUGACAGCUCCUUCUCUGGGCAAGUCGCAUGAGCCUCUCCUCUCAAGUCUCACCAGGAAUUUAAGAGUAAUUCCCAAAUUGCUUCUGGGCCUUGACUUUCUGUCAUCUAUUCAAAUGUCAAAACCUUUUCCUGGAAGAAUGUGCUACACCUGCUGCAGCUCCAGUUAUGCCCUUGAUAAAAUCAGUCAGAAUUAUUUGCUAUACAAGAGUCAUUCAUUGAUUUGUCCAUCCUUUCUAUAAGCAUUUCCUGAACAUCUAUUAUGAGCAAGAUACCACAUUGGAUGCUAGAUAAAAAGAACAGAGAAAUAAAGUCUAUUCUUAAAGGCAGCACAGUCAAGGGAGGUAUGGACAAGUGAAUAAAGUGUGACAGUCACUGUGAUGAGGGCUAUGCUAAAGGAGAAAGGCAAUUAGUAAAUGUAGAAGAAGAAAUGGAAUUUGAAAAUCACUAUUUGGCCACCAUCAUGGUAAUAAUUGCUUGAGUCAAGAAUCAUCAGUGGAUCAUUCUAAUGGGUGGAAGUUUAACCACUAACAGGAUAUUUCAUGGUCUCAAAGCCUCUUCCCACAAGAUGUUUAUAAUAAAAAAUAAAAAGCAGAAACUUCAGAGCAAGGAAGAGAAUCAUCCUUGGCAAUA
RNAcentral lists this long non-coding RNA (648 nucleotides) under Homo sapiens (human). RNAcentral's name for it is "HSALNT0039300". The record is from RNAcentral. Lineage: Eukaryota; Metazoa; Chordata; Mammalia; Primates; Hominidae.